RNAcentral lists this ribosomal RNA (419 nucleotides) under uncultured bacterium. RNAcentral describes it as "bacterial SSU rRNA". It matches the Rfam family "Bacterial small subunit ribosomal RNA", at positions 148 to 567 of the family's 1533-position model. The record is from RNAcentral.
UUCGAGAAAUCGAAAUUAAUUCCUUAUAGUAUUUACUUUCGCAUGAAAUAUAAAUUAAAGAAUUUCGGAUAAAGAUGGGCAUGCGUGAUAUUAGCUAGUUGGAGAGGUAACGGCUCACCAAGGCUACGAUAUCUAGGGGUUCUGAGAGGAUGAUCCCCCACACUGGUACUGAGACACGGACCAGACUCCUACGGGAGGCAGCAGUGAGGAAUAUUGCGCAAUGGACGAAAGUCUGACGCAGCCAUGCCGCGUGCAGGAUUGAAGGCCCUACGGUUGUAAACUGCUUUUAUAUGGGAAGAAACCUUUGGAUUUAUCCAGAGCUGACGGUACCAUACGAAUAAGAACCGGCUAACUCCGUGCCAGCAGCCGCGGUAAUACGGAGGGUUCAAGCGUUAUCCGGAUUUAUUGGGUUUAAAGGG